AUUGAACGCUGGCGGCAGGCUUAACACAUGCAAGUCGAGCGGGGUGAUGGUGCUUGCACUAUCACUUAGCGGCGGACGGGUGAGUAAUGCUUAGGAAUCUGCCUAUUAGUGGGGGACAACACCUCGAAAGGGAUGCUAAUACCGCAUACGUCCUACGGGAGAAAGCAGGGGAUCACUUGUGACCUUGCGCUAAUAGAUGAGCCUAAGUCGGAUUAGCUAGUUGGUGGGGUAAGGGCCUACCAAGGCGACGAGCUGUAGCGGGUCUGAGAGGAUGAUCCGCCACACUGGGACUGAGACACGGCCCAGACUCCUACGGGAGGCAGCAGUGGGGAAUAUUGGACAAUGGGGGGAACCCUGAUCCAGCCAUGCCGCGUGUGUGAAGAAGGCCUUAUGGUUGUAAAGCACUUUAAGCGAGGAGGAGGCUCUUUUGGUUAAUACCCAAGAUGAGUGGACGUUACUCGCAGAAUAAGCACCGGCUAACUCUGUGCCAGCCGCCGCAGUAA
This 503-nucleotide ribosomal RNA is filed under the name uncultured bacterium. RNAcentral's name for it is "partial 16S ribosomal RNA". It matches the Rfam family "Bacterial small subunit ribosomal RNA", at positions 30 to 523 of the family's 1533-position model. The record is from RNAcentral.